GGGGGGGUAGCCCAGUUGGUUAGAGCGCUACGUUGACAUCGUAGAGGUCAGCGGUUCGACCCCGCUCCUCCCCACCA
This 77-nucleotide transfer RNA is filed under the name Bacillota bacterium. Its description in RNAcentral is "Firmicutes bacterium (anaerobic digester metagenome) tRNA-Val". It matches the Rfam family "tRNA". Rfam says of the family: Transfer RNA (tRNA) molecules are approximately 80 nucleotides in length. The record is from RNAcentral. Lineage: Bacteria; Bacillati; Bacillota. RNAcentral also lists the same sequence under 2 other names.